UUCAAUGGCGGUUCAGGCGGGGAAGGCUUUGCCUUGCCGGAAGUGAACGCCGGUCCGCGAACCCUGUCUGAAUUGCCACCAUC
Non-coding RNA from Xenorhabdus nematophila ATCC 19061, 83 nucleotides. NCBI's taxonomy places the organism in Bacteria, Pseudomonadati, Pseudomonadota, Gammaproteobacteria, Enterobacterales, Morganellaceae. The record is from Rfam.